CCUUAUGUGGCGAGCGUUGUCCGGAAUUAUUGGGCGUAAAGCGCGCGCAGGCGGUUAUAUAAGUCUCAUUUACCCUUCCUGAGCUCCCCUCAGUGAUGGGUGAGAAACUGUAUGACUUGAGUGCAGGAGGGGUAGGCGGAAUUCCUAGUGUAGCGGUGAAAUGCGUAGAGAUUAGGAGGAACACCAGUGGCGAAGGCGGCCUACUGGACUGCAACUGACGCUGAGGCGCGAAAGCCAGGGGAGCAAACAG
This 250-nucleotide ribosomal RNA is filed under the name uncultured prokaryote. RNAcentral's name for it is "partial 16S rRNA". It matches the Rfam family "Bacterial small subunit ribosomal RNA", at positions 525 to 775 of the family's 1533-position model. The record is from RNAcentral.